AUCGCUUCUCGGCCUUUUGGCUAAGAUCAAGUGUAGUAUGUGAAGAAACAAACAAAAAAAAUGGGUUGUCUUUCAUUUUGCUAAUUUCUAUUGUCCCUCCGUUCGCAUUUUAGAAAUAUUCUGAUUGCUUGUUACUCUAAGAAUAUCUCUCU
Molecule: small nuclear RNA, 152 nt
Gene: U2
Rfam family: U2 spliceosomal RNA
About the family: U2 is a small nuclear RNA (snRNA) component of the spliceosome (involved in pre-mRNA splicing). Complementary binding between U2 snRNA (in an area lying towards the 5' end but 3' to hairpin I) and the branchpoint sequence (BPS) of the intron results the bulging out of an unpaired adenosine, on the BPS, which initiates a nucleophilic attack at the intronic 5' splice site, thus starting the first of two transesterification reactions that mediate splicing.
Source: Ensembl